AACGAACGCUGGCGGCAGGCUUAACACAUGCAAGUCGAACGGUUGUAGCAAUACAGCAGUGGCGCACGGGUGAGUAACGCGUGGAUAUCUGCCUUUUGGUUCGGAAUAACUCCGGGAAACUGGAGCUAAUACCGGAUGGUUCCUACGGGAUAAAGAUUUAUCGCCAAAAGAUGAGUCCGCGUACGAUUAGCUAGUUGGUGGGGUAAUGGCCCACCAAGGCGACGAUCGUUAGCUGGUCUGAGAGGACGAUCAGCCACACUGGGACUGAGACACGGCCCAGACUCCUACGGGAGGCAGCAGUGGGGAAUAUUGGACAAUGGGGGCAACCCUGAUCCAGCCAUGCCGCGUGAGUGAUGAAGGCCUUCGGGUUGUAAAGCUCUUUUGGCGGGGACGAUGAUGACGGUACCCGCAGAAUAAGCCCCGGCUAACUUCGUGCCAGCAGCCGCGGUAAGACGAAGGGGGCUAGCGUUGUUCGGAAUUACUGGGCGUAAAGCGAGUGUAGGUGGUUGUCAUAGUCAGGUGUGAAAGCCUUGAGCUCAACUCAAGAAAUGCACUUGAUACUGGGCGACUAGAGGACCGGAGAGGAUAGUGGAAUUCCCAGUGUAGUGGUGAAAUACGUAGAGAUUGGGAAGAACACCAGUGGCGAAGGCGGCUAUCUGGACGGU
RNAcentral lists this ribosomal RNA (665 nucleotides) under uncultured Alphaproteobacteria bacterium. Its description in RNAcentral is "bacterial SSU rRNA". It matches the Rfam family "Bacterial small subunit ribosomal RNA", at positions 28 to 737 of the family's 1533-position model. The record is from RNAcentral. Lineage: Bacteria; Pseudomonadati; Pseudomonadota; Alphaproteobacteria.